Molecule: long non-coding RNA, 807 nt
Organism: Phasianus colchicus (ring-necked pheasant)
Lineage: Eukaryota; Metazoa; Chordata; Aves; Galliformes; Phasianidae
Source: RefSeq, a predicted model, not a curated record
CCAACCCCCUGCAGUGAACAGGGACACCCACAGCUCCAUCAGUGUGACAGUGCCCAAUCCAUGGCAGAACUCAGGCUGUAAGGUGUUUGCUGUGGGGUAAUGAUAUCAAGUUGGCCUACGGGCAGACAACCUUAUGGAGAGCUCACAUUGCACAGGAAUUGCAAGCUACAGACUGGAACAACAGAGAGCUGCAAAGCACACCUGCCCAUGGAUUAUGGAAGUGACUUCAUGCUAUCUGUCCAGAAGAAAUAAAGUUGCAGUGAGCAAAGGAAGGUUCCUUGACCUGACCAGAUGGAUCCAUGCAGAUGAAAAACAAAUUCUUCUCCUUCUUGAGGAAAGGAAGCUGUGUGGAAGUGAAAUAUCUGCUUGCUUUGGAUUUUUCACAAAAGGACAAUGUAAAUGGGGGUACCUCAUAAAAUGCAAAUAUAACUUCUGAGUGAGGGGAAGAAGGGUUUGACAGUAUAGUCCUUCUGGAAACAAUUCCAGCAGAGGAUUAGGAGCUAUGGAUGGUAUUUCCAUAAGCCUUUGUUUUUGGCCUGACGAUGACUCCCAGAGAAGCUAAUGAAAAUGCCAUUGUAUCCAAGAGGAACAGACCUGAGACAGCACAGAGCGAACUGCAGAUCCCAGCCUUUGACUCAGUAGUGUAAAUACUUUGCCUUUAUAAGCAAAGAUUAGUAAAUUCAGGGACGUUAUUCAAAAUGCAAUUUGGUAGCUGCUUCACCAAGCACUGUCCAUACACACUGAGCAUACUUAUCUCCUAUGGCUUUAAGACAGCUCUGUGUUGUUAAGGAACAAGGAAAUAAAUCA